RNAcentral lists this ribosomal RNA (228 nucleotides) under uncultured bacterium. RNAcentral's name for it is "partial 16S ribosomal RNA". It matches the Rfam family "Bacterial small subunit ribosomal RNA", at positions 103 to 334 of the family's 1533-position model. The record is from RNAcentral.
CGGGUGAGUAACGCGUAGGAAUCUACCUGGUAGUGGGGGACAACAUGGUGAAAACCAUGCUAAUACCGCAUACGCCCUAUGGGGGAAAGCGGGGGAUCUUCGGACCUCGCGCUAUCGGAUGAGCCUGCGUAGGAUUAGCUUGUUGGUGAGGUAAGAGCUCACCAAGGCGACGAUCCUUAGCUGGUCUGAGAGGAUGAUCAGCCACACUGGGACUGAGACACGGCCCAG